RNAcentral lists this microRNA precursor (92 nucleotides) under Prunus dulcis (almond). Its description in RNAcentral is "sRNA ncRNA". Lineage: Eukaryota; Viridiplantae; Streptophyta; Magnoliopsida; Rosales; Rosaceae. The record is from RNAcentral.
GUUGAUUUUCUCACUCUUCUUUUGUCCACUUACACUCCCUUAAAAAGACAAAAUGGAGUGUAAGUGAACAAAAGAGGAGUGAGAAAAUCAAC